GAUGAACGCUGGCGGCGUGCCUAAUACAUGCAAGUCGAGCGAACGGACGAGAAGCUUGCUUCUCUGAUGUUAGCGGCGGACGGGUGAGUGACACGUGGAUAACCUACCUAUAAGACUGGGAUAACUUCGGGAAACCGGAGCUAAUACCGGAUAAUAUUUUGAACCGCAUGGUUCAAAAGUGAAAGACGGUCUUGCUGUCACUUAUAGAUGGAUCCGCGCUGCAUUAGCUAGUUGGUAAGGUAACGGCUUACCAAGGCAACGAUGCAUAGCCGACCUGAGAGGGUGAUCGGCCACACUGGAACUGAGACACGGUCCAGACUCCUACGGGAGGCAGCAGUAGGGAAUCUUCCGCAAUGGGCGAAAGCCUGACGGAGCAACGCCGCGUGAGUGAUGAAGGUCUUCGGAUCGUAAAACUCUGUUAUUAGGGAAGAACAUAUGUGUAAGUAACUGUGCACAUCUUGACGGUACCUAAUCAGAAAGCCACGGCUAACUACGUGCCAGCAGCCGCGGUAAUACGUAGGUGGCAAGCGUUAUCCGGAAUUAUUGGGCGUAAAGCGCGCGUAGGCGGUUUUUUAAGUCUGAUGUGAAAGCCCACGGCUCAACCGUGGAGGGUCAUUGGAAACUGGAAAACUUGAGUGCAGAAGAGGAAAGUGGAAUUCCAUGUGUAGCGGUGAAAUGCGCAGAGAUAUGGAGGAACACCAGUGGCGAAGGCGACUUUCUGGUCUGUAACUGACGCUGAUGUGCGAAAGCGUGGGGAUCAAACAGGAUUAGAUACCCUGGUAGUCCACGCCGUAAACGAUGAGUGCUAAGUGUUAGGGGGUUUCCGCCCCUUAGUGCUGCAGCUAACGCAUUAAGCACUCCGCCUGGGGAGUACGACCGCAAGGUUGAAACUCAAAGGAAUUGACGGGGACCCGCACAAGCGGUGGAGCAUGUGGUUUAAUUCGAAGCAACGCGAAGAACCUUACCAAAUCUUGACAUCCUUUGACAACUCUAGAGAUAGAGCCUUCCCCUUCGGGGGACAAAGUGACAGGUGGUGCAUGGUUGUCGUCAGCUCGUGUCGUGAGAUGUUGGGUUAAGUCCCGCAACGAGCGCAACCCUUAAGCUUAGUUGCCAUCAUUAAGUUGGGCACUCUAAGUUGACUGCCGGUGACAAACCGGAGGAAGGUGGGGAUGACGUCAAAUCAUCAUGCCCCUUAUGAUUUGGGCUACACACGUGCUACAAUGGACAAUACAAAGGGCAGCGAAACCGCGAGGUCAAGCAAAUCCCAUAAAGUUGUUCUCAGUUCGGAUUGUAGUCUGCAACUCGACUACAUGAAGCUGGAAUCGCUAGUAAUCGUAGAUCAGCAUGCUACGGUGAAUACGUUCCCGGGUCU
RNAcentral lists this ribosomal RNA (1372 nucleotides) under uncultured bacterium. Its description in RNAcentral is "bacterial SSU rRNA". It matches the Rfam family "Bacterial small subunit ribosomal RNA", at positions 28 to 1381 of the family's 1533-position model. The record is from RNAcentral.